Molecule: ribosomal RNA, 1432 nt
Filed under: uncultured bacterium
Lineage: Bacteria
Description: bacterial SSU rRNA
Rfam family: Bacterial small subunit ribosomal RNA
Source: RNAcentral
AGAGUUUGAUCCUGGCUCAGGACGAACGCUGGCGGCGUGCCUAAUAUAAGCAAGUCGAGCGAGCUUGCCUAGAUGAUUUUAGUGCUUGCACUAAAUGAAACUAGAUACAAGCGAGCGGCGGACGGGUGAGUAACACGUGGGUAACCUGCCCAAGAGACUGGGAUAACACCUGGAAACAGAUGCUAAUACCGGAUAACAACACUAGACGCAUGUCUAGAGUUUGAAAGAUGGUUCUGCUAUCACUCUUGGAUGGACCUGCGGUGCAUUAGCUAGUUGGUAAGGUAACGGCUUACCAAGGCAAUGAUGCAUAGCCGAGUUGAGAGACUGAUCGGCCACAUUGGGACUGAGACACGGCCCAAACUCCUACGGGAGGCAGCAGUAGGGAAUCUUCCACAAUGGACGAAAGUCUGAUGGAGCAACGCCGCGUGAGUGAAGAAGGGUUUCGGCUCGUAAAGCUCUGUUGGUAGUGAAGAAAGAUAGAGGUAGUAACUGGCCUUUAUUUGACGGUAAUUACUUAGAAAGUCACGGCUAACUACGUGCCAGCAGCCGCGGUAAUACGUAGGUGGCAAGCGUUGUCCGGAUUUAUUGGGCGUAAAGCGAGUGCAGGCGGUUCAAUAAGUCUGAUGUGAAAGCCUUCGGCUCAACCGGAGAAUUGCAUCAGAAACUGUUGAACUUGAGUGCAGAAGAGGAGAGUGGAACUCCAUGUGUAGCGGUGGAAUGCGUAGAUAUAUGGAAGAACACCAGUGGCGAAGGCGGCUCUCUGGUCUGCAACUGACGCUGAGGCACGAAAGCGUGGGUAUCGAACAGGAUUAGAUACCCUGGUAGUCCACGCAGUAAACGAUGAAUGCUGGCUGUCCGGGGGGACUGACCCCUGGGUGGCGAAGCGAAAGCGAUAAGCAUUCCACCUGGGGAGUACGCCGGCAACGGGUGAAACUCAAAGGAAUUGACGGGGGCCCGCACAAGCGGAGGAACAUGUGGUUUAAUUCGAUGAUACGCGAGGAACCUUACCCGGGCUCAAACGGGGAGUGACUCAGGCAGAGACGCCUGUUUCCCACGGGACACUCCCCGAGGUGCUGCAUGGUUGUCGUCAGCUCGUGCCGUGAGGUGUCGGCUUAAGUGCCAUAACGAGCGCAACCCCCGCGUGCAGUUGCUAACAGAUAACGCUGAGGACUCUGCACGGACUGCCGGCGCAAGCCGCGAGGAAGGCGGGGAUGACGUCAAAUCAGCACGGCCCUUACGUCCGGGGCGACACACGUGUUACAAUGGGUGGUACAGCGGGAAGCCAGGCGGCGACGCCGAGCGGAACCCGAAAUCCACUCUCAGUUCGGAUCGGAGUCUGCAACCCGACUCCGUGAAGCUGGAUUCGCUAGUAAUCGCGCAUCAGCCAUGGCGCGGUGAAUACGUUCCCGGGCCUUGUACUCACCGCCCGUCA